CAGCAGUCGCCACGGUAAUACGUAGGUGGCAAGCGUUAUCCGGAAUUAUUGGGCGUAAAGCGCGCGUAGGCGGUUUUUUAAGUCUGAUGUGAAGGCCCACGGCUCAACCGUGGAGGGUCAUUGGAAACUGGAAAACUUGAGUGCAGAAGAGGAAAGUGGAAUUCCAUGUGUAGCGGUGAAAUGCGCAGAGAUAUGGAGGAACACCAGUGGCGAAGGCGACUUUCUGGUCUGUAACUGACGCUGAUGUGCGAAAGCGUGGGGAUCAAACAGGAUUAGAUACCCCUGUAGUCCCUGUCUCUUAUAA
This 304-nucleotide ribosomal RNA is filed under the name uncultured bacterium. RNAcentral's name for it is "partial 16S ribosomal RNA". It matches the Rfam family "Bacterial small subunit ribosomal RNA", at positions 506 to 809 of the family's 1533-position model. The record is from RNAcentral.